GACGAACGCUGGCGGCGUGCCUAAUACAUGCAAGUAGAACGCACAGUUUAUACCGUAGCUUGCUACACCAUAGACUGUGAGUUGCGAACGGGUGAGUAACGCGUAGGUAACCUGCCUGGUAGCGGGGGAUAACUAUUGGAAACGAUAGCUAAUACCGCAUAAUAUUAAUUAUUGCAUGAUAAUUAAUUGAAAGGUGCAAUUGCACCACUACCAGAUGGACCUGCGUUGUAUUAGCUAGUAGGUGAGGUAACGGCUCACCUAGGCGACGAUACAUAGCCGAACUGAGAGGGGGAUCGGCCACACUGGGAGUGAGACACGGCCCAGAGUCAUACGGGAGGCGGCAGGAGUGCAUCUUCGGCAAUGGACGAAAGUCUGACCGAGAAACGCCGCGUGAGUGAAGAAGGUUUUCGGAUCGUAAAGCUCUGUUGUAAGAGAAGAACGGGUGUGAGAGUGGAAAGUUCACACUGUGACGGUAUCUUACCAGAAAGAGACGGCUAACUACGUG
This 505-nucleotide ribosomal RNA is filed under the name uncultured bacterium. Its description in RNAcentral is "partial 16S ribosomal RNA". It matches the Rfam family "Bacterial small subunit ribosomal RNA", at positions 28 to 507 of the family's 1533-position model. The record is from RNAcentral.